RNAcentral lists this unclassified non-coding RNA (570 nucleotides) under Hevea brasiliensis (rubber tree). Lineage: Eukaryota; Viridiplantae; Streptophyta; Magnoliopsida; Malpighiales; Euphorbiaceae. The record is from RNAcentral.
GUACUUGGCAUUCUCAUUUCGCAGACGAUUCCCGAUUUCACCAAUACCGAACUAAUUACAGAAAGCAACAUAUUUGGAAAUUGUGGAUUUCAUUUAGUAAGAAGCAUGCAAAUGAAAUUGGACAACACUAACCAUCCACAGUUAGAUUCUAAUAGUUUAAAGCGUUCAUCUAAAGCUUGGUGGCAUGCUACGGGGAAUAAUGUUGUCUUCUCAAAUAUGUUAGAGGAAAGAACGGAGAAUGUGUCUCCAUCAAAAUACAUGGAUGGUGGCUUUGGGGGUGAAGCUACAAAAUCACAAGCGAAGCAUCAGGUUGAUGAGGGGAUUGAUGCUAAUAAAGAAAUGCAAUUCACUGUAUUGUCCCAAUCAGAUGGAAAACAUGGUGAAGAACAUCAACAUCCACAACAUUUUGUGAACAUUACGUCUCCAACAAUGGUUGAAUACUUUGUAUCACCUACCCAACCAAACCUUGUUGGCCACUCAUUUGUCCAUUCUCAUUAUCCUGGAGCCCACCCCUCUAGAAUGGUGUUGCCUCUUGAAAUGAAAGAAGAACCUGUUUAUGUAAAUGCAAAG